RNAcentral lists this small RNA (176 nucleotides) under Gopherus agassizii (Agassiz's desert tortoise). Its description in RNAcentral is "TUC338 (ENSGAGG00000008661.1)". The record is from RNAcentral. Lineage: Eukaryota; Metazoa; Chordata; Testudines; Testudinidae.
UUGAUAGCCCUAGAUAGUGAAGGCCUAUAUUUGUCUAUUGAAAAUGCUCAGCUUUGGCAGUCUCUGUGUAUGCUUCAGCACUCUGUCCCAUCAGAAUAUCUCAACCCCACUUCAAAAUUUCCACUUCUAGGUGAGAGGGUAGUGCAGCCUCCAUGCCCAUCCAAUCCUUGGUGCAU